GGGUUGUGAGGUUAAGCGACUAAGCGUACACGGUGGAUGCCCUGGCAGUCAGAGGCGAUGAAGGGCGUGCUAAUCUGCGAUAAGCGCCGGUAAGGUGAUAUGAACCGUUAUAACCGGCGAUACCCGAAUGGGGAAACCCAGUGUGAUUCGUCACACUAUCAUUAACUGAAUCCAUAGGUUAAUGAGGCGAACCGGGGGAACUGAAACAUCUAAGUACCCCGAGGAAAAGAAAUCAACCGAGAUUCCCCCAGUAGCGGCGAGCGAACGGGGAGGAGCCCAGAGCCUGAAUCAGCAUGUGUGUUAGUGGAAGCGUCUGGAAAGGCGCGCGAUACAGGGUGACAGCCCCGUACACAAAAGCGCAUAUGCUGUGAGCUCGAUGAGUAGGGCGGGACACGUGGUAUCCUGUCUGAAUAUGGGGGGACCAUCCUCCAAGGCUAAAUACUCCUGACUGACCGAUAGUGAACCAGUACCGUGAGGGAAAGGCGAAAAGAACCCCGGCGAGGGGAGUGAAAAAGAACCUGAAACCGUGUACGUACAAGCAGUGGGAGCCCCACCACUAAGCCAGUGGUGAACUCCACAUACGCAUCCUUUGCUGAGGAGACGGUUAACGGAGCGAAAGCGACGUUCAACCUCAAAAGAAGCAGAGGGGGCUUAGUGGUGGGGUGACUGCGUACCUUUUGUAUAAUGGGUCAGCGACUUAUAUUCUGUAGCAAGGUUAACUGUAUAGGGGAGCCGGAGGGAAACCGAGUCUUAACCGGGCGUUAAGUUGCAGGGUAUAGACCCGAAACCCGGUGAUCUAGCCAUGGGCAGGUUGAAGGUUGGGUAACACUAACUGGAGGACCGAACCGACUAAUGUUGAAAAAUUAGCGGAUGACCUGUGGCUGGGGGUGAAAGGCCAAUCAAACCGGGAGAUAGCUGGUUCUCCCCGAAAGCUAUUUAGGUAGCGCCUCGUGAAUUCAUCUCCGGGGGUAGAGCACUGUUUCGGCUAGGGGGCCAUCCCGGCUUACCAACCCGAUGCAAACUGCGAAUACCGGAGAAUGUUAUCACGGGAGACACACGGCGGGUGCUAAUGUCCGUCGUGAAGAGGGAAACAACCCAGACCGCCAGCUAAGGUCCCAAAGUCAUGGUUAAGUGGGAAACGAUGUGGGAAGGCCCAGACAGCCAGGAUGUUGGCUUAGAAGCAGCCAUCAUUUAAAGAAAGCGUAAUAGCUCACUGGUCGAGUCGGCCUGCGCGGAAGAUGUAACGGGGCUAAACCAUGCACCGAAGCUGCGGCAGCGACACCGUGUGUUGUUGGGUAGGGGAGCGUUCUGUAAGCCUGUGAAGGUGUGCUGUGAGGCAUGCUGGAGGUAUCAGAAGUGCGAAUGCUGACAUAAGUAACGAUAAAGCGGGUGAAAAGCCCGCUCGCCGGAAGACCAAGGGUUCCUGUCCAACGUUAAUCGGGGCAGGGUGAGUCGACCCCUAAGGCGAGGCCGAAAGGCGUAGUCGAUGGGAAACGGGUUAAUAUUCCCGUACUUGGUGUUACUGCGAAGGGGGGACGGAGAAGGCUAUGUUGGCCGGGCGACGGUUGUCCCGGUUUAAGCGUGUAGGUAUGUGUUCCAGGUAAAUCCGGUUCACUUUAACACUGAGGCGUGACGACGAGGCACUACGGUGCUGAAGCAACAAAUGCCCUGCUUCCAGGAAAAGCCUCUAAGCAUCAGGUAACAUCAAAUCGUACCCCAAACCGACACAGGUGGUCAGGUAGAGAAUACCAAGGCGCUUGAGAGAACUCGGGUGAAGGAACUAGGCAAAAUGGUGCCGUAACUUCGGGAGAAGGCACGCUGACACGUAGGUGAAGUGAUUUACUCACGGAGCUGAAGUCAGCCGAAGAUACCAGCUGGCUGCAACUGUUUAUUAAAAACACAGCACUGUGCAAACACGAAAGUGGACGUAUACGGUGUGACGCCUGCCCGGUGCCGGAAGGUUAAUUGAUGGGGUCAGCGCAAGCGAAGCUCCUGAUCGAAGCCCCGGUAAACGGCGGCCGUAACUAUAACGGUCCUAAGGUAGCGAAAUUCCUUGUCGGGUAAGUUCCGACCUGCACGAAUGGCGUAAUGAUGGCCAGGCUGUCUCCACCCGAGACUCAGUGAAAUUGAACUCGCUGUGAAGAUGCAGUGUACCCGCGGCAAGACGGAAAGACCCCGUGAACCUUUACUAUAGCUUGACACUGAACAUUGAGCCUUGAUGUGUAGGAUAGGUGGGAGGCUUUGAAGUGUGGACGCCAGUCUGCAUGG
RNAcentral lists this ribosomal RNA (2268 nucleotides) under Salmonella enterica. RNAcentral describes it as "partial 23S ribosomal RNA". It matches the Rfam family "Bacterial large subunit ribosomal RNA", at positions 1 to 2183 of the family's 2925-position model. RNAcentral also lists the same sequence under 3 other names. The record is from RNAcentral. Lineage: Bacteria; Pseudomonadati; Pseudomonadota; Gammaproteobacteria; Enterobacterales; Enterobacteriaceae.